GACAGUUUUGAUAAAUUUCCAAGAGAAGGUGGAAUUGGACCUGUUAGCAAAUUCACUCCGAGAUGCAAAUACGAGAGUUCUUGCAUGAGGCCUAAUUCUUCUUGAAUCUCUCCAGUCAGGUUGUUGAAAUCAAGGCCAAGUAUAUUGAGAUGGGUGAGAUUGCUAAAAACAGCUGGGACAGAGCCAUGUAAGGAAUUAGCACCCAAGGAUAGACGGUAAGUUGUUGCAAUUGAGCCAACCAGGUUGGCACAACAUCGACAAAAAAAUUGUAUGACAAGGAGAUCACUUGCAGGUGUUGGCACGAUGCAAGACCAGAUGGAAUUCGACCAACAAAGUUAUUCGUACUAAGGGUAAUCCAUUGUAGCAUCGGAAGACUGAAACUUUGAUUAUUGUUCGGAAUCGGCCCAGUUAAACUGUUUGAUUCGAAUCCAAUUACUUGCAGCCUAGACAUGUUAUAAAUGGUUGGGGGUACUGUGCCAGUGAGCUGAUUGCAUCCCAGGGACAAGUACUCAAGCAUGGGUAGUGAGCCUAUUCUAUGGGGUAUUGGACCUGAUAGGCUAUUCUUUCCGAGGUCGAUUUGCUUGAGGGAAGGUGUGUUAUUGAACAGAUACAGUGGUAUGUUGCCACUCAAGUCAUUCCAUGCUAGAUAAAACCACUCAAGAUUUCUCAUGCUCUGCGGUAACCGUUGUGGAAUCUCUCCAGUCAGGUUGUUGAAAGAAAGGUCAAGUACAGUAAGACGGGUGAGAUUGCUAAGAACAGCUGGGACAGAGCCAUGUAAGGCAUUAGCACGCAAGUUUAGAUAGGUAAGCAUGGGCAGUGAGCCCAUUCCUUGGGGUAUUGGACCUGAUAGGCUAUUGUUUGAGAGGUUGAUGUGGUUGAGGGAAGGUGUGUUAUUGAACAGAUACAAUGGUAUGUUGCCACUCAACUCAUUCCAUGCUAGAGUAAACCACUGAAGGUUUCUCAUGCUUUGCAGUAACCGUGGUGGAAUCUGCCCCGAGAGGGUGUUGUUACUUAGGCGAAGAAACUCGAGGCUUUUGAGGUUUCCUAUGGUACUAGGAAUGGCGCCUGAGAGGUCAUUUCCAUACAGAUCUAGGACCCUAAGCCGACGUAGCCUUCCAAUUUCAGCAGGGAUGAGUCCAGCGACACCAAUUCUUGUGAGGUUGAGCAUGCUGAGGAAGGAAAGAUUACCGAGAUGUUGGCUGAGCGCUCCAUGGAGGGGCACAUCCACCAACCGUAGAGCCGUGACACGCGGCCGGUGGUGGCUGCACGAGACCCCGACCCAUCGACAGAAGGACACGUUGGAUGUCCAGCUGCCGGCGAGGAUUCCGAGAGGAUCAGAGAGCAGCGAUUUGAAAGCCAACAGGGCAGUGAGGUCGGUGUAGCUACCGUUAACAUUGGUUACACUUGGGCUUGGAGAUGAAGAAAGGACAGCAGGCAAUAGGAUUGGUAGCAAGAUGGCCAAAAACACUAGAGGGACCGGGUAGCUUGCAAUGGCCAUUGUUGUGUAUUUUUGGGCUGAUAGGUCAUAGGUGGCAAUGUUAUAUACUUAUAUGUAUUUUUGGGUCAUAGGUCAUAGGUCACAUGUCAAAGUCUUGACUCGUGUUUCCUUUAUUUAUUUGUCACACGGUAUAUUUCUAUGGUGGCAAAAAAAAACAGUGUCACUAUUAUCUUGACUCAUGAAGUCAGCAAAGAUCUUUUAUAUUACUAUAAAGUAAUAAACAUUUAGAGACAUUUUGCUAAAUGUGAAUCCACGAUCUCGCCAUCUAGCGAUCGACAUUUCAUGAAUAUUGCUGCCUUUUAUAUUUACACACAUAUACAAUUCACUGAACGGAACGGAGAGUGUGUGCUGUCUCAUUGGACGUUGCCAGCUUGUGCGAAGACUAGAAUAUUGGCGGUCGUUGCACGGCAAAUUCCUGUCAGGUCAUUACGGGUUAGACAAGACGUGAAGACGAUGAUGGGUUGAAUAUUCUCUAGUACCUUUGCAGCCAUAGUCUCGUAUAGGCUACCGUCGAAUGCUACUUCCUGGUCAAUAACUCUACAGACGUAAAGACUGAUGUGGAUUAGUGUUGGUUCAUUUAUAUGGUGGCCUGUUCGGCAGUUGCAUAAAUGUAAUUUUUUUUCGUUUUGAAAUUUUCUCUUCAGGGUAGGAUAUAUCGAUCUCUCAGUGCAAAAUUGAAGGAUAUAUAUGCCUGUCUCGUAGGUGACACAGGUUAUGAACCACGACUAACAGGGUAUUUCCAAAGGACAGAAGCAGAGGAGCCCAUCCUGAUCAAUGUACAAAUUAAAUUAGUGACCACACUCAUGGAAAAAAGAACGCAUUUAUUCUAUUAUGAAAAGUUAACGAAACACUGUAAUUAUAAGCUUGGAUAUGCGUUGUUAAACUGAAAACAAAGUAUUUUAUUAGCUAAAAAAAUCAAUAAACUGGAUUAUUACAAAGUAACAUGCACUAGCAGUAGAUGAUGUUCCCAUUUUUCAGAUAGUCUUUUGCAUUUGUCUCUGAAGCGGUCAAUUCUGAUUAAGUUGCCAUAUUUUCUUUGUGGCCCCUUUAUCCACCAAAUAACUGCUAGGAAGUUGAGAUCCACAUGGAGGAAAUUUAGUCAUUUACAAGAUGCAACAAGUAGUUCAUACUAUACCCGCUGCUGCUGGUAACUAUCCAGCCAACAGCUUCGUAUCCAUCGUUAAUUCAAUAGCCACCAUUCACCACGAAAACAUCAUUUCAACAGAUCAUGAUAUACACUAUGAUUUCGCAAAGAAACAAAUUUGCGCAGCUGUGAAAGAAACAUGGGGACAUUCAUACCCUGUGUUAUGUGCAUACUAAUGAAUACAGUUGAUCGUAAACAAAUUGCUGGAUGCUAACUGCACCAUCAUGGCUACACAAUUACAAAUUCGAAAGUUAUUUCAGUUAGUGAGGCGGAAAUCACAAACUAUUUUUCAUUCGUUGGAUGCUAACUGCACCAUCAUGCAGAGUUUGGAGAGCAGAGUGGAAAGACAUAAUUAGUUUCUAAUAUAACAUGAAUGGAUCAGUUCGCAACGGAUCAAGUAUUUGUCCCAAUAAUAAAUCGGCAUUGCUUCUAGGUAAAAUAUCGAACACAUGGUGUCCUGUGCUGGCACAACAAUAGAGCUAUCUGAGGAACAGAUGCCUUUGUCAGUAGCAGAUCGAAUGAGAGGAACCCAGCAGGCAGCCUGAGAAGAAGACAAGCAGAAAUUGCCCCGGGCUCUAACCGUCUAUGGUCGACCGCAAAAUCCAUGUCGUGACCGCAAAAUCCACGGCAGUGGUCUUGUCCUCUGCUUUGUGAAUCUUCAAAUGCAUUAUUUGGAUUGCAGUAGCCACCCAUGAAGAUUAACCCGGGCUCGUUCAGUUGGAUUGCAGUAUUCAAAAAUCAUAUUAGGCACAGGCCAAAGGGACAAAAACAAGUAAUGAAAAAUAAUUGGAGAUGGAACAACGGACAGAACAGUUGAAUCACACGGUAGCACUCGUCGUGGUUGCUGAUAUUAUCGAUUCUGUAUAAUCCUUUUUUAUCUUCUUGAGUGCUACUGUGACAUCCCUCAUGACAUCCUCAGGCCAGGUGAGUCACUUGAGCAGAUCAACCCCAGCUCAAAUGUCGCCGUAAGAAAGUCAUUCAGAUUGCCGGCAAAGAAAGAAACACCUUGCAACAGCCGGUCAUCAAGAACAGAGGCAAGCUGAGCUGGAAAUGCUUGACGAACCCACCACCUAAUGCUCAAAUCUGCGACGAACAUGGGAUCUGUGGGUCUCUUUCCAGUGAAGACUUCAAGGAGCAUGAUUCCAUAACUGAAAACAUCGCUCUUGCGUGAUGCCUUCCCGUAAGAUCCAUACUCUGCUCAUGAGACCGGAAACAAAGAAUUCCAGCAAGACUGAAUCAGCACUGUUAGACAAAUAUAUACCAAACAAAAUUCAGAGUCACAGUACGGAGUAUGGACGUACCUGGUGCCAUGUACCCAAGUGUUCCAAGCAUGCUUGCAGUGAUCAUAGAGCAGUCAUCACCCAAUAGCAACUUUGCGAUUCCAAAGUCCGCUACAUGUGCUGUCAUGUCUUCAUCAAACAGCACGUUGCUAGGCUUCAAGUCACAGUGCAGGACUACCUCGUGAUGCUCAUGGUGCAGAUACUCCAUUGCCAUUGACACAUCUAGCAUGAUGUCCAGCCUCUUGAGGAACCCUAAGUGCUCUAUGCUGUCAGAUUGCAAGAGCAUCUCUAAGCUACCACGGGGCAUAUAUUGAAGCACCAAUGCCUUGAACUCCACAUUGGAGCAGACAUUCAAUAUCUUUAUCAAGUUCCUAUGCCGAGCCAUGCGAAGUGUGCUGCACUCAGCAUCAAAGCUUCUAAUGGCCUGCUCCUGCUGCAUGUCUAGAACUUUUACUGCCACCGUGAAACCGGUACUAAGUUGACCUUUAUAGACCUUUCCAAAGCUCCCAGUCCCCAACAGGUUGUCGUCACUAAAAUUACUGGUGGCAAGGACAAGCUCAUGGUAUGACAGGUGCCCAUGGUACAUAACAUUUCUAGGAUCAAUGACAGAAUCUUCAACCUCUCCCUUAUUUUUAAUUUUCUUUCUAAUGGUUUGGUAGAUGAAAAUAAUAGUACACCCAAAUGCUAUGGUUACAGAAGGGAGCAGGAAUCUUAGAAAGGGCGUCGUAUUUGAGUGAGGUUUUUCCAUACAUGGAGAGAAUCCUAAACGAGGUAUGCCACAAAGCCCAACAUUCCCAACCAAAGAUUGCAACGAGAUGUUAGAGAAAACACCGCCCUCUGGUACCUUGCCUUGUAGAUUAUUAAAGGAGAGAUUUAAAGUUUUCAAGAAGGUUAAAUUGGCUAGGAACAUGGGAAUGGUACCUGAGAAAUUAUUGGAGGAGAGGUCCAACAACUCGAGGCUCCUCAGCUCUUUAAAUGACAGGGGGAUUGAGUCCUCAAAUGAAUUGUGCGAUAGGAUUAGAUAGCUGAGCAUGCUUAGUUUCUCAAAUGAUUUGGGGAUGCUUCCAAGCAAAAAGUUGAAAGAAAGGUCAAUUGUAACCACUUGUUUCAUCCCACCAACGUCACUUGGUAGUUUACCAGAAAAGGAAUUGAUAGAAAGAUCUAGCAAUAUAAUUUUGUCAAGGCGGAACAAACUUGCCGGUAUAGUUGAAUUGAAUUGGUUGUCAGACAACGAGACGUAUUCUAGCAUGGUAAGAUUUCCAAUGCUAUCAGGUAUAGUGCCAUGAAAUCUAUUUCCAUAGAGAUAAAGCAAUUGUAAGUUUCUGAGCAUACCAAUUUGUGCCGGGAUAGUCCCUAGCAUGUCAUUAUGAGAGACAUCAAGCCAAACGAGAUUUUGCAUCCUCGUGAUAGAUUCUGGGAUCUCUCCUGUGAGCUGGUUGUUGGCAAGAUAAAUAAUCUCAAGACUGCUCAAGUUCGACAGUGAGGAUGGAAGCCCACCUGUUAGCUUGUUGUCACCAAGUCUAAACUCAAAUAAUUGUGCAGACAGAUUCCCCACAGUGUCAGGGAUUCGUCCGGUGAAAGAAUUAUAAUCUAGUACAAGGUGUUGGAGUCGCACAGAGCUGGAAAGAGAUGACAGGAAGUUAAGAUUCCCACUCAAAUUAUUAGAUUGCAGCUUAAGCAAGUUCAAAGUUGGUAUGUUCCCAAGUGUUUGUGGUACGGAUCCUGACAAUAUAUUAUAACACAAUGCUAGGAAAGUCAGUUUUGAUAAAUUUCCAAGAGAAGGUGGAAUUGGACCUGUUAGCAAAUUCACUCCGAGAUGCAAAUACGAGAGUUCUUGCAUGAGGCCUAAUUCUUUUUGAAUCUCUCCUGUCAGGUUGUUGAAAGGAAGGUAAAGUAUAUUGAGAUGGGUGAGAUUGCUAAGAACAGCUGGGACAGAGCCAUGUAAGGAAUUAGCACCCAAGUUUAGAUAGGUAAGCAUGGGCAGUGAGCCUAUUCCUUGGGGUAUUGGACCUGAUAGGCUAUUGUUUGAGAGGUUGAUGUGGUUGAGGGAAGGUGUGUUAUUGAACAGAUACAAUGGUAUGUUGCCACUCAACUCAUUCCCUGCUAGAGUAAACCACUGAAGGUUUCUCAUGCUUUGCAGUAACCGUGGUGGAAUCUGCCCCGAGAGGGUGUUGUUACUUAGGCGAAGAAACUCGAGGCUUUUGAGGUUUCCUAUGGUACUAGGAAUGGCGCCUGAGAGGCCAUUUCCACGAAGAUCGAGGAAUCUAAGUCGAUGUAGCCUUCCAAUUUCAGGAGGGAUGAGUCCAGCGACACCAAUUCUUGUGAGGUUGAGCAUGGUGAGGAAGGAAAGAUUACCGAGGUGUUGGCUGAGCGGUCCAUGGAGGGGCACGUCCACCAAACGUAGAGCCGUGACGCGCGGCCGGUGGUGGCUGCACGAGACCCCGACCCAUCGACAGAAGGAUACGUUGGAUGUCC
Molecule: long non-coding RNA, 6397 nt
Filed under: Setaria italica (foxtail millet)
Lineage: Eukaryota; Viridiplantae; Streptophyta; Magnoliopsida; Poales; Poaceae
Description: long non-coding RNA (SITA_LNC005591)
Source: RNAcentral